This 459-nucleotide ribosomal RNA is filed under the name uncultured bacterium. RNAcentral's name for it is "partial 16S ribosomal RNA". It matches the Rfam family "Bacterial small subunit ribosomal RNA", at positions 338 to 795 of the family's 1533-position model. The record is from RNAcentral.
CCUACGGGUGGCAGCAGUGAGGAAUAUUGGUCAAUGGGCGAGAGCCUGAACCAGCCAAGCCGCGUGAGGGAGUACUGCCCUAUGGGUUGUAAACCUUUUUUGUCGGGGAGCAAAAGCCGGACGUGUCCGGCCGUGAGAGUACCCGAAGAAAAAGCAUCGGCUAACUCCGUGCCAGCAGCCGCGGUAAUACGGAGGAUCCGAGCGUUAUCCGGAUUUAUUGGGUUUAAAGGGAGCGUAGGUGGAUUGUUAAGUCAGUUGUGAAAGUUUGCGGCUCAACCGUGAAAUUGCAGUUGAAACUGGCAGUCUGGAGUACAGUAGAGGUGGGCGGAAUUCGUGGUGUAGCGGUGAAAUGCUUAGAUAUCACGAAGAACUCCGGUUGCGAAGGCAGUUCACUGGACUGCAACUGACACUGAGGCUCGAAAGUGUGGGUAUCAAACAGGAUUAGAUACCCUUGUAGUC